This 414-nucleotide ribosomal RNA is filed under the name Triticum aestivum (bread wheat). RNAcentral's name for it is "partial small subunit ribosomal RNA". Lineage: Eukaryota; Viridiplantae; Streptophyta; Magnoliopsida; Poales; Poaceae. The record is from RNAcentral.
UGGAACCUGGAAGAUACACCUGAAACUGAAGAAAAAGUUCUCAAAAGUGCGGAAGAGCGGUAUAGAGGCUGGCGACCAACUCUAAGCUCCACUUACAAGGCAUACAAAACAUAUGCAGCUAGGUUGGCUUAUCUGCUGGAAGAUUUACAACAAGAAGAGUGGGAAUGGACGAUUGUGUACUUUGGCACUGAUUCAAAAUUUCAGGAACGCAGCCAAAAGAACAUUGAUAGUCGUAAGAAACAGAAGACAAGACACAUAUUUCGAUCAAAAUCUUACUCGCAACUAAAUUUCGAGAAGAGAAACAUGGAAACUGAAGAAGAGCCAGAUUGUAUUGCUAUGUGGGAACUCACCCACACGAAGAAUGAAACAUGGUCUGACACUGAGUCCCAGGAUGUUUACGAUCCAAAGAACUAG